RNAcentral lists this small RNA (79 nucleotides) under Methylocapsa palsarum. RNAcentral's name for it is "Makes More Granules Regulator RNA (mmgR)". It matches the Rfam family "Makes More Granules Regulator RNA (mmgR)". Rfam says of the family: SuhB later renamed mmgR (makes more granules regulator) was a putative non-coding RNA found multiple times in the Agrobacterium tumefaciens genome and related alpha-proteobacteria. The record is from Rfam by way of RNAcentral. Lineage: Bacteria; Pseudomonadati; Pseudomonadota; Alphaproteobacteria; Hyphomicrobiales; Beijerinckiaceae.
GCUGCAUGCCCCUCUAUGGGCGUUUCCUCCCAUGACUUGGGCCGCUUGCAGCAAUGCUGGCGGCCUCUUUAUCUGAUGC